This 271-nucleotide ribosomal RNA is filed under the name uncultured prokaryote. RNAcentral describes it as "partial 16S ribosomal RNA". It matches the Rfam family "Bacterial small subunit ribosomal RNA", at positions 524 to 794 of the family's 1533-position model. The record is from RNAcentral.
UACGGAGGAUCCGAGCGUUAUCCGGAUUUAUUGGGUUUAAAGGGUGCGCAGGCGGGGGAUUAAGUCGGCGGUGAAAUUUUGCAGCUCAACUGUAAAAGUGCCUUCGAAACUGGUUUCCUUGAGUGUAGAUGAAGUAGGCGGAAUUUGUGGUGUAGCGGUGAAAUGCUUAGAUAUCACGAGGAACUCCGAUUGCGCAGGCAGCUUACUAAGCCAUAACUGACGCUCAAGCACGAAGGCGUGGGGAUCAAACAGGAUUAGAUACCCUGGUAGU